Long non-coding RNA from Protopterus annectens (West African lungfish), 941 nucleotides. RefSeq lists it as uncharacterized. Lineage: Eukaryota; Metazoa; Chordata; Ceratodontiformes; Protopteridae. The record is from RefSeq and is a predicted model, not a curated record. The transcript is spliced from 3 exons.
GGACACAAGUGCCCUUCAGCAGUUGAAUUCUGCUCGCUGGUGGGGAAGAGCAGAGUGGACAUCAGUUGGUGACCUGAAGGAAGUGGGUCAGAAGUGGAAGUUCAGGUGCUGGUGGCUGUCUCCAUUGAUAGAAUGGUGCACAAAGGUGAUCAAGUGGAGGCCAAUGAGACUCAAGACAUCUGGUCCCCGUAAAUCUGCAUACAAAAAUGCUAAGAAUGAAGUCAUCAUCCAGGCACUACAAAGACAUGGAUACUUCCUGUUAGACAAGGAGCUGACAAGUCCUCCUGGGACCAUAUCUGGGAGCAGACGGUCAAUGAUAGUAAUGCAGUUGGAAGACAUGGCUGGGAUAAUGAAAAACUAAGACAUCAUGCUAAUGAUAUGAUUAUGAACACCAAGCAGAGGGCAGCUGUAAUUGCCCAGGAAAGGAUGCCUUCUGGUGGUGGCCUACUACUGGACCACCAGUAAUUUCCUGUCCAUUUCCACAGAUCCAGACAGCUCAUCAGGAGGUUCACAAAGAUUCAGUGAUGUUGGUGCUGAGAUGGAGGACAACCAAAUUAUGCCUAUUGAUGAACUUCCAGAUAUGCCAUAUAAGAAAUCAUUAGUCUUAAAUUUAUAUAAUAUACAUAGAGAAGGAGAGUGUACAAGUGCACAUGAGAGAGAGAGGGGGUGGGGAGAAGAGAGAGAGAUUAGUGGAUAAGGAUAUGGGAGACAGGAUUUUUGUAUGAGUUGCUUCUUAUUAACCAGAUGGAAAGUGGAUUUUUUUGUUUAUUGUGUUGCUUGCAUUGUGAUACUUAUCAUCCAUCUUUAAUAACCAUUCCUUCUGUCUAGUUGCAUCCUGUACUGAUUUUGCAUGAUCAUCUGCACAUUGUAAUCAUAUAUUUGUUCCUUAUUACAGUACAUAAGUAAAUUUAUGUGUACAUUAAAGUCCUUUUUAAAUUGCA